AGUUUUUGGAAUUUCCAAACAUAUCAUAGUGAACAAAGAAAAUGGGAAUGG
Molecule: small RNA, 51 nt
Filed under: Dactyliosolen fragilissimus
Lineage: Eukaryota; Bacillariophyta; Coscinodiscophyceae; Rhizosoleniales; Rhizosoleniaceae
Description: partial Mitochondrion-encoded tmRNA
Source: RNAcentral